UACGGAGGGGGCGAGCGUUGUUCGGAAUUACUGGGCGUAAAGGGCUCGUAGGUGGCCAACUAAGUCAGACGUGAAAUCCCCCGGCUUAACCGGGGAACUGCGUCUGAUACUGGAUGGCUUGAGUUCGGGAGAGGGAUGCGGAAUUCCAGGUGUAGCGGUGAAAUGCGUAGAUAUCUGGAGGAACACCGGUGGCGAAGGCGGCAUCCUGGACCGACACUGACGCUGAGGAGCGAAAGCCAGGGGAGCAAACGGG
This 253-nucleotide ribosomal RNA is filed under the name uncultured bacterium. RNAcentral's name for it is "partial 16S ribosomal RNA". It matches the Rfam family "Bacterial small subunit ribosomal RNA", at positions 524 to 776 of the family's 1533-position model. The record is from RNAcentral.